This 468-nucleotide ribosomal RNA is filed under the name uncultured bacterium. Its description in RNAcentral is "partial 16S ribosomal RNA". It matches the Rfam family "Bacterial small subunit ribosomal RNA", at positions 28 to 507 of the family's 1533-position model. The record is from RNAcentral.
GACGAACGCUGGCGGCGUGCUUAACACAUGCAAGUCGAACGGAAAGGCCCUGCUUUUUUGGUGUGCUCGAGUGGCGAUCGGGUGAGUAACACGUGAGUAACCUGCCCUUGAUUUUGGGAUAACUUCAGGAAACUGGGGCUAAUACCGGAUAGGAGCCCCUGCUGCAGGGUGGGGGUUGGAAAGUUUCGGCGGUUGGGGAUGGACUCGCGGCUUAUCAGCUUGUUGGUGGGGUCGUGGCUUACCAAGGCUUUGACGGGUAGCCGGCCUGAGGGGGUGACCGGCCACAUUGGGACUGAGAUACAGCCAGGACUCCUACGGGAGGCAGCAGUGGGGAAUAUUGCACAAUGGGCGGAAGCCUGAUGCAGCAACGCCGCGUGCGGGAUGACGGCCUUCGGGUUGUAAACCGCUUUCGCCUGUGACGAAGCGUGAGUGACGGUAAUGGGUAAAGAAGCACCGGCUAACUACGUG